CAUGUAUUUCCUGCUUUGGCCCUACAAUCAGCACUUUCCUCCUGGGACCCCUGGUUCCUUGGAUUGGAGAAGAGUACCAGAAACCAAGUUCUGGGCAUGAGGCAUGCUUGGAUGGGAUCUUGCUAAGCUGCCCGGGCUAGCCUCGAACUCAGAAUCCUCCUCCCUUAACAGCUCAGGUAGGAUAACAGCACAUACCAGAGCUGAGUCAGGAGCAUUCUCUGAAAGCUGCUGCCAAGCCCCUGCAUCCCUGGACUGAGCGAGCAGGUUGGCACUGCCAUCUGGAACCUCUCUUCUACCUAGACAGCAAGCACAGAAGUGGAACUUUUGGGGAUUCAGUGGAGCUCAACCUCAUAAGCACAGCUCCUAUAAGAUCAGGGAGUCAUGGACGGGUUGCCAUGGACCAUGCCUUUCUACCCAAGCACAAAGAACUUGAUGGGGGUUCUGAGAAUGGAGAAAAGAAGGCUAGCUCCAAGAGCUGCAAGAGUUUUCCAGCAGCAGAAGAAACCAAAUGUGCCCAAG
RNAcentral lists this long non-coding RNA (519 nucleotides) under Heterocephalus glaber (naked mole-rat). RNAcentral's name for it is "lncRNA (ENSHGLG00000050830.1)". Lineage: Eukaryota; Metazoa; Chordata; Mammalia; Rodentia; Bathyergidae. The record is from RNAcentral.